CGUCGAUUGUCCUCUAACGAGUAUCUAACUGCGAUAAGUAAAUUAAAUUUUAUUAAAAAAUGUCCAAGUUCAUUUUUUUUUUAAUAUGUAUGACUGCAUUGUCUGCUAUUGGGGAUUGUGAACAACUCCAAGGGUGCCCAGGUUGUGUAGGCCAUGCUGAGUUUUGUACAGACAACCCAUGCUGCUUCGGUUAUACUUGCCGGGACAAUACUUUUGGCGAACGAAAAUGUUCCAGUGACCACCAUCGUCGUUAUUAUAAUUGGGACUAAUCAUUACUUCUAUCGAUUUAGCCUUAAAUGCCGGAACCUUAAAUGAAUGGUAAAAUUGACCCCUAUCUCUAUCAGAAUAAGAAUAAAUUCUUUAUGAAUAAAAAUUAUUACCUCAUCAAGACAAAUGUUUUACCAUUCAGUAUACACAAAUUUUUCUCCGAAUAUGUAAAAACUGUAAUUUCUUAUCAUAUAAACUGCUGUAUCUUGAAUAAAAAUAUUGUAAAUUUUCAAGCAUAAAAUAAAAGUGAU
Molecule: long non-coding RNA, 518 nt
Organism: Microplitis demolitor
Lineage: Eukaryota; Metazoa; Arthropoda; Insecta; Hymenoptera; Braconidae
Exons: 3
Source: RefSeq, a predicted model, not a curated record